GUCUACCAUUUGGGACUUUCUUAGGCUAUCCACAUCAGCAACUCUUCCAUGGUUGAUCCACAUCAGCAUCCUCAAAAUUAACUUCUUCUUCCACUAUGAUUCGGCAGUUACAUCCUCCUGAUUUUCAAUUUCCACUAUCAUCAUAACUACCCUUAAACCCCAUCCUCUUUCACGGUUACGAAAUUUCCAUCUCCCCCCUUCCAAUCUUCUUCUACAGCGGUUUCACAAAACCCUUUCUCUUCCAAAUAGUUUCUAAUUUCUCUGUAACAUGGAUUCGUUAAACUUUCUCUGUUACAGUUACAAAUACUUUAAUUCUCUACCCAUCCACGAUCUAAACUGCUACACUUUUUGUUGAUCAAUAUACGCCCAUCCACGUUCCAAUCUUCUUCUUCUACAGCGGUUUCAGACAACCAUUUAUCUUUCAUUGGGCUUCUGAUUUAUUCGUCUUUUCUCUCUUUCAACUUUGAUUUUGAUUUAGUUUUCAAAGUUUCAGGUUUCAUGGUGUUGGCUCACACGGAAGAGGAAAGAUCCAUCGCCGAUACAGUUUCUGAUGAUGCGUCGGUGUUGGUUGUGGUGGACGGAGAUUAAUACUCUAAAAGAGGUUCGAUGAUGAAGCACAAGUUUGCUUGGCCAUAAAAAAGAAAGGAUGGCGAUGAGAGAGAUUGAUCGGUUCUUUUUAGUAUUUUGAUUUUGUUUAUGCUUUGAAUUUCAGGUGGCUGUUCGUUUUGAUUUGGGUUUCUAAUGUUGUCUCAGGAGGGAUAAAGUACGGGAAUGGUAUAACAUGGUAUAUCUUGCCAUCAUUUCAGUAUUUGGAUGGGCUUAUAGCUUGCCACUUACAUUCAGCAUUCAGGAUUUUGCGUAUCUUUAUGAUCCAAACAAUGAGAUUGCUGGAGCGUGAAGCUGAAUUUUCUAUAUUUGUUAAAUUUUGAUUUCAUUUUCUGAUUCAGGAUGAUUGAAGAAUUCCUAGAUAGAUACGGGCGGCGGAAAACCAAUGGCUGGAAGAUGUUUCGGAAUCCUUUGAAGCUUCACGACUCAACAUCAUCAUCAACGCAAAAACAACAGCCUCAGGCAUCACUGCUCGGAAGCAUGGACUUCAUCUUUGGCAAUAACACUUCUCUUUUGGAGCACUGUCAUAUCCAAUGCAAAUAUGUAGAGUUUCAGUAUCGCACAGGCUAGAAAAUCAUCGUAGGAAACAACCGAUUAUGUAUUCUUGAGAUGCGUUAUCACAAGUAACCGAGAAAUUUCAUAUGCAUAUCUUGGACGACCGUGGGGACCUUUUGGAAGGGUGGUUUUUGCAUGCACUUACAUCGAUCCGGUAUAAGACAAGUUGUGGAGCAGGCACUAAUGCCGAUACAGUGGCAUUAACAGGUGCUUACAUUGCAGCUGCUUCUAAUGUGGUUCCGUUUUCGACGCUACAACAAAUGGUUUUCAUCCGUCCGACUACUUCUCCGCUUUACUUGACUGUCGUGACGCUGAUAUCGAAGAUUUUAUAACAGGUUUCUGCUGGGUUUCUUCGGUUGGCUUCAACGGAUAUCGAACAUAACAAAAGAAAGGGAAAAAUACAAUGCUCAGUGACCCUCUGCAAUAUCUGUCUUUCUAUGUCACAAUAGAUGAAUGCUCUUUUGUGUUGAUGUUGAUGUUGGAUUGGUAGACACAAUGACGGAUAAGACGAGAUGGUUAUGGAAGCGGAAGUCUUCUAAGAAGAGUUUGGGUGAAGUUGAGAGUUCCGGAUCUGUUUCCUCUCAUUCUGAGAGGUAUUUUGAUGAACAGGUAUGAAUGAUUGAUUAUCCGUGUUCUUUGGAUUUUAGGAGUGCUGUUGUUGUUUGCUGGGAUUGAAUUGGCUAUAAUGGUUUGCAGGGAUAUGAGUAAGAAAAAGGAUUGUUUUGUUAUGCGUAUUUGUAGUGUUUCUGAGAGAAUUGGAUUUAAUAGCUGAUUUGAUGACAAUGGUUCUUCUUACAUGCCUUCUCACCUCUAAAUUGUACACUUAUUUUAGUUCUGUUUUAUCUGUAAAGGUAUGCUAGGCAUAACUUAUAAACAGACAAAAUAUCAGGUUAAUAGUUAGUACUAAGGAUGCACCAGUUGUGAUAUGGUUGACUGGAGGGCCAAGUUGUAGCAGCGAACUA
Long non-coding RNA from Vicia villosa (hairy vetch), 2123 nucleotides. RefSeq lists it as uncharacterized. Lineage: Eukaryota; Viridiplantae; Streptophyta; Magnoliopsida; Fabales; Fabaceae. The transcript has 10 exons. The record is from RefSeq and is a predicted model, not a curated record.